GAGACCAUGGUGUAAUAGUACGCAUCGGGCACUGUGAAUGCUCAGGUACGGGUGCAAUCCCCGUUGGUCUCC
Molecule: transfer RNA, 72 nt
Filed under: Roseimicrobium gellanilyticum
Lineage: Bacteria; Pseudomonadati; Verrucomicrobiota; Verrucomicrobiia; Verrucomicrobiales; Verrucomicrobiaceae
Description: tRNA-His
Rfam family: tRNA
About the family: Transfer RNA (tRNA) molecules are approximately 80 nucleotides in length.
Source: RNAcentral